GCUCAACUUCCUACCUGAUACAUAGCUUCCUGUCACCAUGAUAGUAUUCAUACUAGCCUCUAAGUCGUUCGUUUUAUCAUUACCUCAGUAUAUUAAUAUAAUCAUUUUUCUAUAGCUUUUUAAAAAAUAUAUUAUUGUUGAAAGUUGUGUUUAUCCGUUCAGUUAGUGAUUUUUGUAAUUCGAUUAUUGUGUUCUGUGUCUUUUUUGUAUCUCGUUUAGCUAGCUAUUAACGCGCUAACCAUUAAGGUGGCUAGUAAUUAGUCAACACCCCUGCUUACCAUGCCGUUGUUUUACACAAGGUGCUUGAAGAGCUGCCAAAGGUAACAGUGACGCUUCUACAUCGUCUGGCCAAGACAAUUAGCAAAGCACCGACCUCCAAGUUGGAAAAAGGUUUAAAACUUUGUCUCCAGUUACCUUUUCUACUAUGAAGGUUGUACUGAAGCGCUCUGAGCCAGAAACAAUGACACAUCACUGUUCAUGUGUUGCUGGCACUGCAUUAUGCAACCACACAGUUGCAUUACUAUUCCAGUCUGCACACUAUUCCCAGAUGGGAACAUCAGUCAUCCCACCUGUGCACAGAGGCCAGGCAGCAGUGUCAUAAGCCCAGGACUAUGGGUCUGAAACCUGGGCCUAUAGGCAAAAUGACCAUCAUAGGCAAAAUGACCAUCACCAAGCCCACCAAAAAGUGCAUGGCAGAAAGAGGGAUUAGAAGUACACUCUACAGUGCCCUUCUUGGACCGCUCCCUGACCUCUCAGUUCUUCAGAUAGAAGAGGCAUAAAAUAACUUUGACCCUCUAUCCAAGCCAUUGAUCUGCAGCAUGGGGAUGUCUGCUGAAAAGCUUUUAGCCAAGGAAAGGUGCAAGUGGGGAGGCUCUUGUCUUAUCAGCAGCCACCAAUCACAAUGCAACACAUAGUUCACCAUAAGGAGACACCACCAUUCCCUUCACUGCCCCUGGAUUGCUACAGACGAGAACAACUUUCAAGGCUGCACAUUUGUGUUCAGUGAAGGAGACCAGCUUCACAUAGUCUCUUCAGGUGAGCUUCGCAACAGCCCGUAAAAUAGAGGAAGCUACUAGAGAACAGAGUGCUUUCUCCGACUGGCAGGUGCUACGGAAAUCAAGACUGACCUCGUCACGGUUCUGAGAGGCUUGCCAUGUGAGAGUGCCUGCGGAUGUCUGCCAUCUAGCUGAAAGGAUCCUCAAAGGCACAGCACCAACAGCUGACAUGAAGAGGGGACUGGAGUUGGAAGCAGCCAGUGACUACUGCAAGAUGCAGAAUGUCAAAUUCUUACCCUGUGGCCUCCUCAUACAUCCUGACAUCCCUUGGUUUGCUUCUUCUCCUGAUGGCCUGGUCUACAACCCUCUCGAGCAUCCACCUUUUGGCCUAGUUGAGAUUAAGUAAACGUAAAAUAUUUUGUGGAUUGUAAGUACGUUCACAUGCAUAACGGUGAACCUUCCCUGAAGAGGCAUCAUACCUACUACUGGCAAGUUCAAGGUCAGCUCUACAUCACUGAGUUGGAGUGGUGUGACUUUGUUGUCUGGGGACAUUCUAUUUGAGAUAGUACAGAGACCCAGUGGUGUUCACACUAAUUAGAGUGAAGGGUGACUGGUACUACUUAUAUGUGUACAUGCAAAAGUUAUUAGGCAGGAAAGCCUAAAUAACUCCAGACAGGCUCCUGUACCUUUUCAAUUAACGAAAGAGAAACAAACUAACAAAUCUGUCUAUGCAAUUAAUUAAUGAAUAAGUAAUUUAAAAUAAUUCAGUAAAACAAUUUCAGUUCUCUUGUCACUGUAAAUAAAAAUUCUGUCCAACA
Long non-coding RNA from Oncorhynchus nerka (sockeye salmon), 1813 nucleotides. RefSeq lists it as uncharacterized. The transcript is spliced from 4 exons. NCBI's taxonomy places the organism in Eukaryota, Metazoa, Chordata, Actinopteri, Salmoniformes, Salmonidae. The record is from RefSeq and is a predicted model, not a curated record.